UUAUAUUCUCCACAGGGGGGGAUGAGAACCCCCGACCGGGGUUCGACAACUGGCGCAGCCAGUUGGACAGACCGCGCACGCAGUAAGCGGGCUGCCCCGCAGGGGCGAGCGAAGCGAGUCAAUCCCCCCCCCCCCACCG
Molecule: small RNA, 139 nt
Filed under: Klebsiella pneumoniae
Lineage: Bacteria; Pseudomonadati; Pseudomonadota; Gammaproteobacteria; Enterobacterales; Enterobacteriaceae
Description: RtT sRNA
Rfam family: RtT RNA
About the family: This family represents a bacterial cis-regulatory element known as RtT RNA. The exact function of RtT is unknown although it is thought that it may be involved in changing the cellular response in relation to amino acid starvation.
Source: RNAcentral